CCUACGGGCGGCAGCAGUGAGGAAUAUUGGUCAAUGGACGCAAGUCUGAACCAGCCAUGCCGCGUGCAGGAAGACGGCUCUAUGAGUUGUAAACUGCUUUUGUACGAGGGUAAACGCAGAUACGCGUAUCUGUCUGAAAGUAUCGUACGAAUAAGGAUCGGCUAACUCCGUGCCAGCAGCCGCGGUAAUACGGAGGAUUCAAGCGUUAUCCGGAUUUAUUGGGUUUAAAGGGUGCGUAGGCGGUCGGAUAAGUUAGAGGUGAAAUCCCGAGGCUCAACUUUGGAAUUGCCUCUGAUACUGGUCGGCUAGAGAGUAGUUGCGGUAGGCGGAAUGUAUGGUGUAGCGGUGAAAUGCUUAGAGAUCAUACAGAACACCGAUUGCGAAGGCAGCUUACCGGCGCUCAACUGACGCUCAUGCUCGAAAGUGUGGGUAUCGAACAGGAUUAGAUACCCUAGUAGUC
RNAcentral lists this ribosomal RNA (460 nucleotides) under uncultured bacterium. RNAcentral describes it as "partial 16S ribosomal RNA". It matches the Rfam family "Bacterial small subunit ribosomal RNA", at positions 338 to 795 of the family's 1533-position model. The record is from RNAcentral.